This 497-nucleotide ribosomal RNA is filed under the name uncultured bacterium. RNAcentral describes it as "partial 16S ribosomal RNA". It matches the Rfam family "Bacterial small subunit ribosomal RNA", at positions 28 to 507 of the family's 1533-position model. The record is from RNAcentral.
GAUGAACGCUGGCGGCGUGCCUAAUACAUGCAAGUCGAGCGAACAGACGAGGGUCUUGCUCCUCUGACGUUAGCGGCGGACGGGUGAUUAACACGUGGAUAACCUACCUAUAAGACUGGGAUAACUUCGGGAAACCGGAGCUAAUACCGGAUAAUAUAUUGAACCGCAUGGUUCAAUAGUGAAAGACGGUUUUGCUGUCACGUAUAGAUGGAUCCGCGCCGCAUUAGCUAGUUGGUAAGGUAACGGCUUACCAAGGCAACGAUGCGUAGCCGACCCGAGAGCGUGGUCCGCCAGCCUGGAAGUGAGACACGGCCCCGACUCCUACGGGAGGCAGCAGUCGGGACUCUUCCGCAAUGGGCGAGUGCCUGACGGAGCGAAGUCGCCUGAGUGAUGACGCUCUUCGGCUCGUAGAUCUCUGUUAUUAGGGAAGAACAAAUGUGUAAGUACCUAUGAACGUCUUGACGGUACCUAAUCAGAAAGCCACGGCUAACUACGUG